AAGAUUAAGCCAUGCAUGUCUAAGUAUAACAAUUUAUACCGUGAAACUGCGAAUGGCUCAUUAAAUCAGUUAUAGUUUAUUUGAUGGUCUUUUCUACAGGGAUAACUGUGGUAAUUCUAGAGCUAAUACCUGCAUAAAACCCCGACUUCUGGGAGGGUGUAUUUAUUAGAUUCAAAAUCAAUGACGUUCGCGUCUUCUGAUGAUUCAUAAUAACUUCUCGAAUCGCAU
This 228-nucleotide ribosomal RNA is filed under the name uncultured fungus. Its description in RNAcentral is "partial 18S ribosomal RNA". It matches the Rfam family "Eukaryotic small subunit ribosomal RNA", at positions 40 to 274 of the family's 1831-position model. The record is from RNAcentral. Lineage: Eukaryota; Fungi.